ACAUGCAAGUCGAGCGGGGAGAUGUAGCUUGCUACAUUUCCUAGCGGCGGACGGGUGAGUAAUGCUUAGGAAUCUGCCUAUUAGUGGGGGACAACAUUCCGAAAGGAAUGCUAAUACCGCAUACGCCCUACGGGGGAAAGCAGGGGAUCUUCGGACCUUGCGCUAAUAGAUGAGCCUAAGUCAGAUUAGCUAGUUGGUGGGGUAAAGGCCUACCAAGGCGACGAUCUGUAGCGGGUCUGAGAGGAUGAUCCGCCACACUGGGACUGAGACACGGCCCAGACUCCUACGGGAGGCAGCAGUGGGGAAUAUUGGACAAUGGGCGAAAGCCUGAUCCAGCCAUGCCGCGUGUGUGAAGAAGGCCUUUUGGUUGUAAAGCACUUUAAGCGAGGAGGAGGCUACUUAGAUUAAUACUCUAGGAUAGUGGACGUUACUCGCAGAAUAAGCACCGGCUAACUCUGUGCCAGCAGCCGCGGUAAUACAGAGGGUGCGAGCGUUAAUCGGAUUUACUGGGCGUAAAGCGUGCGUAGGCGGCUUUUUAAGUCGGAUGUGAAAUCCCUGAGCUUAACUUAGGAAUUGCAUUCGAUACUGGGAAGCUAGAGUAUGGGAGAGGAUGGUAGAAUUCCAGGUGUAGCGGUGAAAUGCGUAGAGAUCUGGAGGAAUACCGGUGGCGAAGGCAGCCAUCUGGCCUAAUACUGACGCUGAGGUACGAAAGCAUGGGGAGCAAACAGGAUUAGAUACCCUGGUAGUCCAUGCCGUAAACGAUGUCUACUAGCCGUUGGGGCCUUUGAGGCUUUAGUGGCGCAGCUAACGCGAUAAGUAGACCGCCUGGGGAGUACGGUCGCAAGACUAAAACUCAAAUGAAUUGA
RNAcentral lists this ribosomal RNA (866 nucleotides) under uncultured Acinetobacter sp. RNAcentral describes it as "bacterial SSU rRNA". It matches the Rfam family "Bacterial small subunit ribosomal RNA", at positions 53 to 913 of the family's 1533-position model. Lineage: Bacteria; Pseudomonadati; Pseudomonadota; Gammaproteobacteria; Moraxellales; Moraxellaceae. The record is from RNAcentral.